This 497-nucleotide ribosomal RNA is filed under the name uncultured bacterium. RNAcentral's name for it is "partial 16S ribosomal RNA". It matches the Rfam family "Bacterial small subunit ribosomal RNA", at positions 28 to 507 of the family's 1533-position model. The record is from RNAcentral.
GACGAACGCUGGCGGCGUGCCUAAUACAUGCAAGUUGAGCGCUGAAGGUUGGUACUUGUACCGACUGGAUGAGCAGCGAACGGGUGAGUAACGCGUGGGGAAUCUGCCUUUGAGCGGGGGACAACAUUUGGAAACGAAUGCUAAUACCGCAUAAAAACUUUAAACACAAGUUUUAAGUUUGAAAGAUGCAAUUGCAUCACUCAAAGACGAUCCCGCGUUGUAUUAGCUAGUUGGUGAGGUAAAGGCUCACCAAGGCGAUGAUACAUAGCCGACCUGAGAGGGUGAUCGGCCACAUUGGGACUGAGACACGGCCCAAACUCCUACGGGAGGCAGCAGUAGGGAAUCUUCGGCAAUGGACGAAAGUCUGACCGAGCAACGCCGCGUGAGUGAAGAAGGUUUUCGGAUCGUAAAACUCUGUUGGUAGAGAAGAACGUUGGUGAGAGUGGAAAGCUCAUCAAGUGACGGUAACUACCCAGAAAGGGACGGCUAACUACGUG